Molecule: ribosomal RNA, 440 nt
Filed under: uncultured bacterium
Lineage: Bacteria
Description: partial 16S ribosomal RNA
Rfam family: Bacterial small subunit ribosomal RNA
Source: RNAcentral
CCUACGGGUGGCUGCAGUGGGGAAUAUUGCACAAUGGGGGAAACCCUGAUGCAGCGACGCCGCGUGAGUGAAGAAGUAUUUCGGUAUGUAAAGCUCUGUCAGCAGGGAAGAAAAUGACGGUACCUGACCAAGAAGCCCCGUCUAACUACGUCCCAGCAGCCGCGGUAAUACGUAGGGGGCAGGCGUUAUCCGGAUUUACGGGGGGUAAAGGGAGCGUGGACGGCAGGGGAAGUCUGGAGUGAAAGGCGGGGGCUCAACCCCCGCACUGCGCUGGAAACUGCCAGGCUGGAGUGCAGGAGGGGUAAGUGGAAUUCCUAGUGUAGCGGUGAAAUGCGUAGAUAUUAGGAGGAACACCAGUGGCGAAGGCGGCUUACUGGACUGUAACUGACGUUGAGGCUCGAAAGCGUGGGGAGCAAACAGGAUUAGAUACCCGGGUAGUC